This is a long non-coding RNA of Peromyscus eremicus (cactus mouse), 370 nucleotides long. RefSeq lists it as uncharacterized. The record is from RefSeq and is a predicted model, not a curated record. NCBI's taxonomy places the organism in Eukaryota, Metazoa, Chordata, Mammalia, Rodentia, Cricetidae. The transcript is spliced from 3 exons.
UGACAUGUUUGCAGUGUGACUGGUUAAAUGCCGAUGGAGUGUGUGUGAAAGGAGAAAGCACCUGUGAGGCUAAAGAUGACCAGGAAUGUGGCAUACUGGUAGUGUCUAAAGGUUAUAACAUCUGGUUUGGGCAGCAGGAUUGUUCUUCCAGAUGUUUCAAUAAGACUUUCACCCAUUAUAAUAUAACACUGGAUUUUACAUGUUGCCAUGACCAAUCUCUGUGUAAUGAAUUUUAGAGGCUGGGCCCUUCCUUGCUCAGUCCUGCUGCAGUGCUGUUCAUUGAAUCCCAGCUCUGGAGCAUGAGAGGAAGCAUUCUACUACUGACCUUGUCUUGAACCCUAUAUCUUGGUCUUUCCAUCAUAUGCCUUAG